This 560-nucleotide ribosomal RNA is filed under the name Thermoleophilia bacterium. Its description in RNAcentral is "partial 23S ribosomal RNA". It matches the Rfam family "Bacterial large subunit ribosomal RNA", at positions 1959 to 2525 of the family's 2925-position model. Lineage: Bacteria; Bacillati; Actinomycetota; Thermoleophilia. The record is from RNAcentral.
GCGAAAUUCCUUGUCGGGUAAGUUCCGACCCGCAUGAAUGGCGUAACGAUCUGGGCGCUGUCUCGGCUGGGGACCCGGUGAAAUUGUGGUACCGGUCAAGACGCCGGUUACCCGUGGUGGGACGGAAAGACCCCGUGGAGCUUUACUGUAGCCUGAUGUUGGAUCUUGGCGCGACAUGUACAGGAUAGGUGGGAGGCUGUGAAGCCGAGGCGCCAGCUUCGGUGGAGCCGCCCUUGGGAUACCACCCUUGUCGUGUUAGGGUUCUAACUGCGCACAUGCGCAGGACAGCGUCUGGUGGGCAGUUUGACUGGGGCGGUCGCCUCCUAAAAGGUAACGGAGGCGUGCGAAGGUCACCUCAGGGCGUAUGGAAAUCGCCCGCAAGAGCGCAAGGGUAUAAGGUGGCCUGACUGCGAGAGUGACGGCUCGAGCAGACACGAAAGUGGGCCCUAGUGAUCCGGUGGUUCCGUGUGGAAGGGCCAUCGCUCAACGGAUAAAAGCUACCCCGGGGAUAACAGGCUGAUCUCGCCCGAGAGUUCCCAUCGACGGCGAGGAUUGGCACC